UCAAUGUUGCUUUGUUGGUAC
Molecule: non-coding RNA, 21 nt
Filed under: Arabidopsis thaliana (thale cress)
Lineage: Eukaryota; Viridiplantae; Streptophyta; Magnoliopsida; Brassicales; Brassicaceae
Source: RNAcentral